AACGAACGCUGGCGGCAUGCCUAACAUAUGCAAGUCGAACGAGACCUUCGGGUCUAGUGGCGCACGGGUGCGUAACGCGUGGGAACCUGCCCUUAGGUUCGGAAUAACUCUCCGAAAGGGGUGCUAAUACCGGAUAAUGUCUUCGGACCAAAGAUUUAUCGCCUUUGGAUGGGCCCGCGUUGGAUUAGCUAGUUGGUAGGGUAAAAGCCUACCAAGGCGACGAUCCAUAGCUGGUCUGAGAGGAUGAUCAGCCACACUGGGACUGAGACACGGCCCAGACUCCUACGGGAGGCAGCAGUGGGGAAUAUUGGACAAUGGGCGAAAGCCUGAUCCAGCAAUGCCGCGUGAGUGAUGAAGGCCUUAGGGUUGUAAAGCUCUUUUACCCGGGAUGAUAAUGACAGUACCGGGAGAAUAAGCUCCGGCUAACUCCGUG
RNAcentral lists this ribosomal RNA (433 nucleotides) under uncultured bacterium. RNAcentral's name for it is "partial 16S ribosomal RNA". It matches the Rfam family "Bacterial small subunit ribosomal RNA", at positions 29 to 507 of the family's 1533-position model. The record is from RNAcentral.